RNAcentral lists this long non-coding RNA (4140 nucleotides) under Nicotiana tabacum (common tobacco). RNAcentral describes it as "long non-coding RNA (NTAB_LNC002554)". The record is from RNAcentral. Lineage: Eukaryota; Viridiplantae; Streptophyta; Magnoliopsida; Solanales; Solanaceae.
GUAAAUCCCUCAAUUUCACUCUCCAUCUCUCAACCAGAAGCUGAAGUACUUCCACCGCCGGCAUCCUCUGUUGCUCUGAUCUGGGAACUCAAUAACCAUCCGAAUUUGAAAAAGAAUAGAGUCUAAACUGUUUACUGGAAUGCUGAAAAAGUAUUUUUCUCUUCCCUUACCUUCGUCUCUCAACAGCGUUAGAAUCUAGUUUAUUAUUAUUAUUAAAUUUUUUUUUGUAAUUAUAGUUGAAGAGAUAAUAAUGAUGAAGAAAAUGAAAGCAAGGUUCCAAGACAAGACAUUUACUGCUCUUCUUCAGCUAACCUUCCUCGUAAUUCAUCAAAAAAGGUACUCUCUUUGUCUCUGAAUUGGGUGCCUCUAUUACUAUUCACAAAGUAAUAGUAAUCAAUUUUUUAACUGUUAAAAAAUAGGAUCACUAAUUGUGAUUUUUAUGUUAUCUCUAAAUAUGUUAAUUUUGUUUAAUAAUAUUUUUUUUUCAGAUUUUAUCUUUAGAUGAAAAAGGGGUUAAAUAUUGAUUAUUUUGAAACUGUGAUUAUUUUUCAAUUAUAAGAUGACUAUUUUUUAAAUUUGCCUCAAACAAGAGCCUAAAGUAAUGCAAGCUCUGUCAAACUGGCUAAGGCAAUUCGCAUUGGAUAUAUAUAUAUAAUCCUAAAAGUUUGAGCUCCAGAACUUAUUGGUAAUAAUUCUACGAGCCAAAAAUACAACUAACGUAUUGAAAAUAAUUGACAAAUACGCUUUGUUAACCUUUUUGGUCAUAAAUACUCUCCGUCAAAUUUUCAAGUUGAUGGUGAUGGAAAAAGAGCAGCUUAUAUAUAUAAAUAAUUGCAAUUUUAAAUCUCAAAAGGCAAGAAAAAUAAAAUUUAUAUAGGAAACGUUAUUUAAAAGUUGCUAUUAUUAAAUUUUACCAGUUUUAUUGAGUCACGAUUAUGCUCAUAAUAUUUUCUACGAACUGAAGAUCAUCAAACGGACUAUCCAUGUAAAUCUUUGUCUUUAUUUGUUGAAGUGUUGCAAAACACGUUGCCCAGGAUCACAUUAGAUAUAUCCAGGUUCCUUAAAACUGGUAGCGGUAUGUUUUGAAUACCUCGAUUCAUAUUGUGUGCCUUGAAGAUGUUUGACGAAAUGUCUGUGAGGAACUUAGUGUCCUGGAAGUCUAUGUUGGGUGGAAUUGAGAAAUGUGGGUAUGUGAUUUUGACGAGAAAGGUGUUUGAUUUAAUGCUCAACAAAGAUGUGUGUCGUGGAGCUCGUUAAUUGAUGGGUAUUUUAUGGAAGGGGAAUAUGCUAAGGCAUUGGCAGCUUUUAGGAAAAUGAAAGUAGAAGGGCCAAAAGCGAAUGUUUUGGGAGUUUGUGAGAUUGAUGCAAUCUUGAUUGUAAAAUGAAGAGGUGUCGAAGAGAGCGUCCGUCUGGUGAGCUCAAAGCAACUCCUGAUAUUGAAAGCACUUAUAAAAAGUUAUGCUCUUUAGUGUGUUCAUCGCAGUUGGGAGUUGUCCACGAAGAAAAAGUUUGCUUUAUCAUUUCUUUAAUGUUCGCCUAAAAUUCUAGACGAACAACGUCAUUAGCAACAUAGUUGAUUUCAAAUAUUCAAUGUUGUACUCUUUGAUCUUCAACUUGCUUCAUUUGCAGUUUUUCAACUGCAAAUCAUACAAAGUUCAUUAACCAUCUUCACGAGUCGUGGUUUUUACUCUAAUUAGAGCUGGAUAAAGAGGGAUGUGCAGAAGAUACUGGAAUACAAAUUUGAAAACGGAAGAAAGAGAUAUAGACACAGAAGCAGAACAUAUAAAAUUAAUAACAAAAAUCAAAUAGAAGUAACGAAAGCCGUUGAUUUUGACUUUAGCUGCAGAAUAAUAUUACGUAGAUUUAAUUUUAGUUGUACACUUUUAAUUUUUAACUUUGCACUCUGUUUAAGAAAUGAUAAAUGAAGUAUGUAUUUUAUAAUUUUACUCAUAAUAAUGAUAAAAUUUCAAAACGUAUUGAGAGAUGAUUUGGGGAUUGAGUAAUUAAUGACGAUGGUAGAACAAGAAACAAAAAUUUAUCUUUCUCUUGAUUUGCUAUAAUGAACAAGUAAAAGUGAACGAAAUGAAUACAUAUUAUGCUAAGAAAUGUAUGACAUACGUAUAUAAAUAGCGUGAGAACAUUCUAAUAUUUUCGCCCUAGUUAUUAUAUUAAAUCUAAGUUUUCUGCAUCAGUAAACAAAUAGAUAUUUUUAUGAUUAAGCUACUUUAAAAAUUAAUUAUACAAUGUAAGUAUUAUCAUUAACUUCAAAUUACGAUAAAUAAUGGUGUAUGUUACAAUUAACAAUCAUACACUAUGAAAUGAUUUUGCAGUUUAAGAAAGAAAAAUUUCGACGUAUAGCUACAUAAAAUUUCCUCCCCCUCAAUUUCACUCUCAAAUCUCAAUCUCAACUCCAAUGCUCUGAUCUGGGAACCCAAUAACCUUCCGAAUCUAAAAAAGAAUAAAGUCUAAACUGUUUAUUUUUCCAUUUGACGAAAAUGAAAGGAAGGUUCCAAGACAUUUACUGUUCUUCUUCAGCUAAUCUUCCUUGUAAUUCUUCAAAAAAAGGUACUCCCUUUGUCACUGAAUUGGGUGCUUCUAUUACUAUUCACAAAGUUAAACUGUUCUGAUAAUACAUUCUUAUCAAUUUUUAGCUGUUAAAAAUUGGGAUCACUAUUAGUGCUUUUUAUGUUGUCUCUAAAUAUGUUAAUUUUGUUUUUAUGAGUCAUGAAAUUGAAAUAUAUUCACACUAAAAUUACCUGAGUUGAUACUUGUACUGUACUCUGAUCAUGUUAUUCUUAUUAUUUUUGUGUUUUUUUUGGUGGGUGGGGGGGAGGUUAAUUUAAUUCCUUAAUUCUUUGCCCCCUCUCAGUCUCAGGAAUGAGUUCUUCUAUUACUUUAUUAUUUGUGUUUAGGUAGUUGUCAACUUAGUUACAGCAUUUUGGAGAAGAAUGAGAUUUGCCAGCUGAAAAGGGGUAGAAAGUUCUGUAGAUUAUCAAUGUGGUUGAAGUGGAGUGGCGCCACGGCCAAGAUUUUUGUUGAUAGGGAAUAAAAUUCGAAUUUGAAGUAGAGAGGUGCAAUGGCCAAGUAAGGUAUAUGAGGCCAUUUCUGGUGCUGAACUUUAAAUCUUUGAGAUGUAUUGGCGCUGGAACAUAUGAUCAACAAACUAUGCAUUUGUUGCACAAUUGUUUUCAGAAAUCCUAUAGAAAAGUGAUAAAUGAAAAAAGGAAACUAAUUGGUAAUAUACCCUACUAGUUUGCCCUGCACAUGUAUUCAUCAGAGAGCACAGACAGUGCAAGAAAAUUUCUACAAUAUCAGUUCAUUUAAAAGAUAAUUUAAAAUAUCUAUAAAAGUUCUGCAGUAUCAGUACAUUUGAUAGUGUAAAACUUUUACACUGUCGAUUGGAUAUAGGUUAAAUUCUUUAUGGAAAGUGUGAAAAAAGAAGAAGUGUCGUACUCCUAGUGUUUUGGUCUCUGCUAAGGUUUGAACUCUAGUCCUCAAGGUUUACAACCAGUUCACCGCUGAGCCAAACUCUUCGAUAUUGGAUUUUAAGGCAUAUUUAUUGUAUUUUGGUGUCUAAUUGAUAUGGGUAACCUUGGGUAAUAAUUAUUAUGAUUAAAUUGAUCUAUUGAUGAUUGACCUGUGGAUUGGAUUUGCAGAAAUUCUAAGGAAUUGGUUGAGAACAACUAUGAAAAGCAUAAUUGAGGGAACCUUGUGUUAGCCAAUACUUUAGGUAAUGUGCAUUGUGCCUUUCCAUUACUUGAAUUAAUUAAAAAGUUGAAGUUGAUAGAUUGUAACUCUAAACUAUUGGUUGCUUUAUAGAUUUGUUGACGAAUUGAGUAACAUGGUUGAUCAGAAGUUGAACUUGAGUAAUUGGCAUCUGGAGGUGAGUGAUGACUUGAACUAUGAAUUUUUUUUCCCAUAAAGAGCAUGAUUUGGAAAUUUAAUUCUUAAUUGAACUUCUAUGUUCGACAGAAUUGAGUUUUUCUGUAAAGAUAUAUGCAUCUGAUAUACUUUGGUAUGUUGGGACAAGUUUGAGAUUCGUAAGUUGAUACUUGAAAUAUGUACAAAGUAUGUCUUACGAGAUUGUUGAUAUGAUACGAACUUAUCCUAUUUGAGAUUACUAUAGUAAUUUUUUGCCUA